CAUUAGUCUAUCUGUUAUAUAUUUAUCUUUUAAUAUUAUAUUGUUAUUAUAAUAUAAUAUUUAUGGCGUUGUUGUAAGAGAAUUAAAGCAUUAAAUGAAAUCCGUCAAUGUAAGGGAAAAUGAGGUUUUUCUAUGGUCUAUAACGAAAGACGUGUUCAAUGUAUCGGAGCGACGAUUUGCUAAGCCUUGACGAGCGUUCUGGAAGGUUGUUGCGUGUUGUUUCCCAACUGUGAGAAAGGUUCUAAUAAUAGUUAUAAAAUGAAAGCUGAGAAAAAACGUAUUAUAUAUACAUCCUUUCUUAACCUAUAAAUUGUAAUACAAAGAGAAUAUUAAAACUACAACUGUGAUAAAUAAGAUGGUAUUAAAAAUCCGGUUUUUUAAUUGUAAACUUUACGACACAGUGAACUUCGCUCUUGCUAACUUUCAUCAUCACGUUUCCAAACAAAAAUAAAAAUUUGUGGAUGAGCACUUAACAAAAAAGUAUACAUACAUGCAUUGCAUAUAAAAAAUACAUAUUUGAAUCCGGAUUUGUCCUGUUGAACUUUGAAAUUGGCUAAACGCAGUUAAAAACAUGUUAUUCAAAUUCUAGAGCCGUCUUCAGUAACUUGAAGUUACAAAAGAUAUACAACUAACUCAUUUUUCUGUUUUCCCGCUGGAACAACUACAAUAAAAUUUGGAAUUAAUUUCAUUGGUGAUAUUUAUUUACAUACGAAUUUUCUCGUUCGUAGUAUGUUUACUAUUAAGAGUAGCUUAGUAGUAUAUGUAAAGAUUAUUUUUGACUACAGGUAUAUAUAGUUUUUUCUUUAUAUAAAUUGCACAAUCAAGAGACUAAAAACAUUUUAAAUUCAAAACAUCGUGUACCAGGCGACCAUAAAGAGGAGGAUACUUUUAAUAUUUCAUUGUAGAGUUCCUCACCCUCUCAUCAUGCGCAGUACAAUCUGCGCAAUUCUAAGGUCGAAUAAAGUAAGCCCAUUUUAUUAAGAGACAUAUUUUAGUCCUUCGAAUAUGAAUAUAUAAGUUAUACAAUGUCAUCAUUGGGUUUAAUAGUUUCUAAAUGCUUUAAGAAGUAAUAUUAUUCUCU
This is a long non-coding RNA of Danaus plexippus (monarch butterfly), 1081 nucleotides long. RefSeq lists it as uncharacterized. The record is from RefSeq and is a predicted model, not a curated record. The transcript is spliced from 3 exons. Lineage: Eukaryota; Metazoa; Arthropoda; Insecta; Lepidoptera; Nymphalidae.